UGAGGAACAUGACCUUCGGCGGGGGAUAGCCGGCCCAACGGCCGGGUAAUACCGCGUACGACCACAUGGGGACAUCCCUGAGUGGUGAAAGCAGCAAUGCGCCGAUGGAGUGCCUCGCGGCCUAUCAGCUAGUUGGUGAGGUAACGGCUCACCAAGGCGACGACGGGUANCUGGUCUGAGAGGAUGGCCAGCCACAGUUGGGACUGAGACACGGCCCAGACCUCGUAACCGGGGAGG
RNAcentral lists this ribosomal RNA (237 nucleotides) under uncultured bacterium. RNAcentral describes it as "partial 16S ribosomal RNA". It matches the Rfam family "Bacterial small subunit ribosomal RNA", at positions 118 to 347 of the family's 1533-position model. The record is from RNAcentral.